RNAcentral lists this ribosomal RNA (485 nucleotides) under uncultured bacterium. Its description in RNAcentral is "partial 16S ribosomal RNA". It matches the Rfam family "Bacterial small subunit ribosomal RNA", at positions 28 to 507 of the family's 1533-position model. The record is from RNAcentral.
GACGAACGCUGGCGGCGUGCUUAACACAUGCAAGUCGAACGGGAUCCAAGGGGUGCUUGCACUUUUUGGUGAGAGUGGCGAAUGGGUGAGUAAUACGUGAGUAACCUUUCCUUUUCUUUGGGAUAAGCAUUCGAAAGGGUGUUUAAUACCUUAUGUUCUGUCUGCCUUGUAUGGGGUGGGUGGGUAAGGCUUUGGCCGGAGUUGGGUGGGCUCGCGGUCUAUCAGCUUGUUGGUGGGGUGAUGGCUUACCAAGGCUUUGACGGGUAGCCGGCCUGAGAGGGUGGUCGGUCACAUUGGGACUGAGAUACGGCCCAGACUCCUGCGGGAGGCAGCAGUGGGGGAUAUUGCACAAUGGGCGAAAGCCUGAUGCAGCGACGCCGCGUGGGGGAUGAAGGCCUUCGGGUUGUAAACUUCUUUUGCUCUGAACAAGGCGCACUUUUGGGUGUGUUGAGUGUAGGGGUUGAUUAGCGCCGGCUAACUACGUG